RNAcentral lists this ribosomal RNA (449 nucleotides) under uncultured bacterium. Its description in RNAcentral is "partial 16S ribosomal RNA". It matches the Rfam family "Bacterial small subunit ribosomal RNA", at positions 29 to 523 of the family's 1533-position model. The record is from RNAcentral.
AGCGAACGCUGGCGGCAGGCCUAACACAUGCAAGUCGAACGAAGUCUUCGGACUUAGUGGCGGACGGGUGAGUAACACGUGGGAACGUGCCUUUAGGUUCGGAAUAACUCAGGGAAACUUGUGCUAAUACCGAAUGUGCCCUUCGGGGGAAAGAUUUAUCGCCUUUAGAGCGGCCCGCGUCUGAUUAGCUAGUUGGUGGGGUAAUGGCCCACCAAGGCUACGAUCAGUAGCUGGUCUGAGAGGAUGACCAGCCACAUUGGGACUGAGACACGGCCCAAACUCCUACGGGAGGCAGCAGUGGGGAAUCUUGCGCAAUGGGCGAAAGCCUGACGCAGCCAUGCCGCGUGGAUGAUGAAGGUCUUAGGAUUGUAAAAUCCUUUCACCGGUGAAGAUAAUGACUGUAGCCGGAGAAGAAGCCCCGGCUAACUUCGUGCCAGCAGCCGCCGUAA